Molecule: long non-coding RNA, 1034 nt
Organism: Ailuropoda melanoleuca (giant panda)
Lineage: Eukaryota; Metazoa; Chordata; Mammalia; Carnivora; Ursidae
Exons: 2
Source: RefSeq, a predicted model, not a curated record
AGCCCUGGAACCUGUAAAGUUUCCUUUAUAAGGAAAAGGGGUUUGCAGAUGUGGUGAAGUCACAUGUGAGGAAAAGGAGGUGGCUGCUUUUCAGGGCGAGCCCUGCACACAGUCAGUGUCCUCAUAAGAGAAGCAGAGACCCGAGCCGUGCAGCCAGGAGCCAGACACAGCGGGAGCCAUGAAGCCUCUGGAGAGAGCACAGCCCUGCCGGCCCCGGCUGUGGGACUGCUGCCUCUGGAGCGGAGAGAACAAAUGUCUGCGGGGUUAGGCGGCCAGCCUCGUGGCUGGCUGUUAGCUGCAGGAAACAGGUAAAGUGGAGCCUUCUCACAUGACUUCAUUUCUCUGCAACCUCACUGAAGAGCAUUUUCUUUCCUCAAUUAGAAACAGAGUGGGAUGGUUGGAAGGGGGCCUGGAGGCUGCCGCAGCUGGCCCUUGACUUUACAGACGAGGGAGAGACCUGCGCAGGGUCACGCAGCCAGGAAUGAGGUGAGGAGUAUCACAUACGGAGGACAAAACCACACAGAGACAGCCAGUGGCCCACGUCCCCAGCCCGGGGCCCCCACCCUGAUACUGAAUGACGUCCAGCUGUUGAGUGGCUGUGCCGACCAGCUCUUCUAUUUCCUUAACCAUGGGAGUGAUGCAGGAUGAGUCAACUCUGUCUAAAUUCACUACUAUUACAAUUUAGCUCUGCCAUUGGAUAACGCCAUUUUCUCAGGAGGUGACAGUGUUGGCAAUCAUUGAAGAGUGAGUAGCUGUGACGACACGAGGUGCGGCUCUCACGGUCGGUGACCGUGUCUGUGCAUCUCCAGAAGCCUGGUUUAUGCUGGGAACACCAGAGCGUCGUCUCCUAUGCCCUUGAGCAUGCACUUCAAGGCACGGAAAGAACGUAUGUGAGCUGUUUCCUCCUGUUUUCCAAGCCAGCAUCUGCACUGUCUGAUGACUUUGGUACUCUACAGCAAACAGGCCUGCGCACAGGUUACAAAUACGAUUUUGAACUGCAUAUUAAAAAUUGUACUGGCUGAGACGGUUUAAUA